AUAUAUUGACCCAAUAAUUUGAUCAACGGAACAAGUUACCCUAGGGAUAACAGCACAAUCCUAUUCUAGAGUCCAUAUCAACAAUAGGGUUUACAACCUCGAUGUUGCAUCAGGACAUCCUAAUGGUGUAGCCGCUAUCAAGGGUUCGUUUGUUCAGUGAUUAAAGUCCUACGUGAUCUGAGUUCAGACCGGAGCAAUCCAGGUCGGUUUCUAU
Molecule: non-coding RNA, 214 nt
Organism: Chlorocebus sabaeus (green monkey)
Lineage: Eukaryota; Metazoa; Chordata; Mammalia; Primates; Cercopithecidae
Source: Rfam